GGACCUCUCUCAGCGGCCCCUGAGUGUGGAAGCAUCUCUCACGAACUCCCACGCACGAGUGUCCCAGCAGAAGAGGGUGACAAGAUGGGCGCUGGGGGUCCUUGAGCUCUUAUCACCUGGCCGAGGCAGACAGAACCCAGAUGCCGGGGACAGAGCACUGCUGGGGAGAAGGAAGCGGGCACAGACUGCCCAGAGGCCUCCCGCCCCAAAGCCCCCAAAAGCAGGCCACCCACCGACUCAUGGCGCAACUCCCAGGAGGCUCUGGGACAGCUGUUUCCAGGGCCACCAAGGCUUUGGCUUCCGCUCCUCCUGUGUCACCCACCUUCCCCAGAAGUGACCGGCAAUUGGGACUGAUAGGACAGAAGAAAAACAAAUGUCUCACCGGAGAUCCAGCCGGCCACAAACUCCUCCACGGGCAUUGUCUAGCAGGGGCAGGUGCUGGUGGCUCCAGCAGAAGAGACGCAGGUGAAAGUGUAAUUGCACCCUCCCCGGCCCCCAGACUGAUAAUCCGCCAC
Molecule: long non-coding RNA, 515 nt
Organism: Phacochoerus africanus (Common warthog)
Lineage: Eukaryota; Metazoa; Chordata; Mammalia; Artiodactyla; Suidae
Exons: 3
Source: RefSeq, a predicted model, not a curated record